CAGCAGAAUAUAUCUAAACUCAAGAUUUCCAAUGGCAAUAAGGCUGUGAAAGAAACUGUAAGAAGGACAGGAAAUCACUGUGCAAAAGGCAUAACAGAAAACCAUGUAGCCCACUAGCCUUGGACGUGAUAAAAUAUUUGUGACAGAUAUCUUGAAAAUGCUACAUUCUAUCACCCUAUGCGUACAAAGGCUCCAUAUUGCAACCUACAAGCACAGCUUCAGCUGUUGGUGAAAGAACAUGCUGCAGAACUAAGGGAGAAGCCAGCCUUAUCAGCCAAAGCAAAAGUGAUAAACGACCUUGCCACAGAUGUCAUAUGGCUCUCCAAUGGCACUGCCAGAUUCACAAGGUUCCCCCGACUGCAAACUAUCACCUCAAAGAAAAUCAAAUCAUCAGCAUUAUUUUCUCACCUAUUAAGAGUCAGCUUCACACUUAGUAGCUGAAUAGAAAUUACUGCUUUGUAAAAAUAAGGAAGUUAUGUUGGGGACAGCUGAAAAAAAUAAUUGAGCUAAAUCACAGAAUAGUCAGUUACUAAAUCAUUUAUUCAUAUAAUAAAUAGCUUUGCUUUUUGCUGUCAUAAAGGUAUCAAUUGAUAGGAGUACCAGAAAGCAUAUUGAAGAAAGAACAUGUUCUGGUUAACCAUAAAAAGCCACCACAUAUCACUACAGUGAAGAAUGCAGCAUUCAAAUUUCUAAGUAGAGAGAGGAGAAAAAAAUACUGUAUAGUAUCAGGAAGGGAGAUUAUGCUCAGAAUGUAAAAUCUGAGUAAGCAAAUAUCUGAAUUGAAGUCCCAACCGUUUUUCCAAGAGAUAAUGAAAAGAAGUUUAAUUGGGGAUUGGGGGAAGGGAAAUGGAAUUAUAUUUGUAUCACUCUUUAUAAGGUGAAGAUUGAAGAUAGACUGGAGGAAGGAGAUUUAAAUUGGGUGCAGAAAUCACCAACUAAUUAGUAGCAGGCACGGUGUAUUAAAUGAAUGAAGAGUAUCAAAGAUAUCAAAAACAUAAUUAAGUCAUUCAAAAAGCAUAAUUAUCAGCAGAUACAUGCAGUUUAUAGUGGGACUGAAUGUAAAUUAAAUGAUUUUGCUCUAGCUAAUUAUUUUUCACUACGAAGCUGUAGCUCCUGCAACGGUUCACAUAGUAAAUUAAAAUAGAUUUCUGGGAUAUAAGCAUGUUGGGCAGAUUGAUGAGCAGAGGCUCUAACAUUUUUUUGAUGUAUUGUCUAAUAUCAGUGAAGAUUAUAAAAAUAUGACUGUGAUGACAUAUCUCAGUGUGAUUAGUUUUGUCACUCUGUAUCAGGGGUGUUAAUCUUAGGAAACUGCAUGGAAGCAAAGGGACAUUGAUCCUGGGGCUUAGAGUAUAUAACAUUGUCUUGCAUUAUUACAAGUGCCACUCACUAAGUGUGUCACUGCACAAUAUGGAGCUCAUAGCUAGAAUCUAAUAAAUAAUAAAUACAUAGAUCCCAGAUAAGUA
Molecule: non-coding RNA, 1463 nt
Organism: Python bivittatus (Burmese python)
Lineage: Eukaryota; Metazoa; Chordata; Lepidosauria; Squamata; Pythonidae
Source: RefSeq, a predicted model, not a curated record